GUCAGUUGUCACGUGGACUGGCCAGCUCUGUCCUGUCGGUGGCUUUGUGUCCGUGUCAGACGCCCACUGCCGAUAUAAGCCGGCUGUAGAACCAGCCGUAUCACAGUGAGCUAUCGGUAUCCACACAAGUAGCUGAGAUGCGUGCACUGCUGUUGGCAUCUGCCGUUCUGUUGGCUAUAGCCGUCUGGCUUCAAGCAGGUACGGCUACCCCAACCACAAGACCACCUUUUGUGUGCCUGGCUGUCGGAUGCAUCUGCGAGGGCUGCCCCCAUGGCUACAAGUGCUCCAGUUGCAACACGUUCGAGGACACCCCCGCCCCCGGACUGCCGGCGCCAAUCACCAAGCCAUGCUGCAUUCCAGACCUUGACUACGACAGAUACCCGCCGCUGAUUAGGGAGCUAUUCUGCAACAUCAGUCUUCCAACAUGUAGGCCUAUCAAUGAAUGAACAUGGCCACUGCAUUGUAACUGACAGUGAAGCAAAUCCGAGCAUACAUACAUUGCGGUUUGUACCUAUAGAUGUUGACAUACUGAAAAACAAAAAUGGCUAACAGCUACGCUGGUUUCGCAUAGUGCUAGAGCUACCGUCGAUAUACAUAGGUCGUUAAAUAAAAUCAUCUCGUCUUCUGAUUUUCGAGGGCUUGCCGUUAUUUAUGCAAAUACAUAUACACUGGUGACGUU
This 679-nucleotide long non-coding RNA is filed under the name Amphibalanus amphitrite. Its description in RNAcentral is "uncharacterized LOC122378553". The record is from RNAcentral. Lineage: Eukaryota; Metazoa; Arthropoda; Thecostraca; Balanomorpha; Balanidae.